ACGUGGGCAACCUGCCUAUAAGACUGGGAUAACUUCGGGAAACCGGAGCUAAUACCGGAUACGUUCUUUUCUCGCAUGAGAGAAGAUGGAAAGACGGUUUACGCUGUCACUUAUAGAUGGGCCCGCGGCGCAUUAGCUAGUUGGUGAGGUAAUGGCUCACCAAGGCGACGAUGCGUAGCCGACCUGAGAGGGUGAUCGGCCACACUGGGACUGAGACACGGCCCAGACUCCUACGGGAGGCAGCAGUAGGGAAUCUUCCGCAAUGGACGAAAGUCUGACGGAGCAACGCCGCGUGAACGAAGAAGGCCUUCGGGUCGUAAAGUUCUGUUGUUAGGGAAGAACAAGUACCAGAGUAACUGCUGGUACCUUGACGGUACCUAACCAGAAAGCCACGGCUAACUACGUGCCAGCAGCCGCGGUAAUACGUAGGUGGCAAGCGUUGUCCGGAAUUAUUGGGCGUAAAGCGCGCGCAGGUGGUUCCUUAAGUCUGAUGUGAAAGCCCACGGCUCA
Molecule: ribosomal RNA, 510 nt
Filed under: Bacillus sp. SCAUE9005
Lineage: Bacteria; Bacillati; Bacillota; Bacilli; Caryophanales; Bacillaceae
Description: bacterial SSU rRNA
Rfam family: Bacterial small subunit ribosomal RNA
Source: RNAcentral